GAACCAGGAAGCAGACGACAGGAGCCAGGUACCAGGUCGUGAACACUGAAUUUCUGGCGCUGAUGAGCUGUUGGACCAGGGUUUUUAUGGAGGCAGGUUGAUUGUAGACAGAUGUGCUCAUCAGCUCCACAAGGAAUACCACCUGGAAGAGAGAGAGAGAGAGCAAAG
This is a long non-coding RNA of Thalassophryne amazonica, 168 nucleotides long. RefSeq lists it as uncharacterized. Lineage: Eukaryota; Metazoa; Chordata; Actinopteri; Batrachoidiformes; Batrachoididae. The record is from RefSeq and is a predicted model, not a curated record. The transcript is spliced from 4 exons.